UACGUAGGGUCCGAGCGUUGUCCGGAAUUACUGGGCGUAAAGAGCUCGUAGGUGGUUUGUCGCGUUGUUCGUGAAAACUCACAGCUUAACUGUGGGCGUGCGGGCGAUACGGGCAGACUGGAGUACUGCAGGGGAGACUGGAAUUCCUGGUGUAGCGGUGGAAUGCGCAGAUAUCAGGAGGAACACCGGUGGCGAAGGCGGGUCUCUGGGCAGUAACUGACGCUGAGGAGCGAAAGCGUGGGGAGCGAACAGG
RNAcentral lists this ribosomal RNA (253 nucleotides) under uncultured bacterium. Its description in RNAcentral is "partial 16S ribosomal RNA". It matches the Rfam family "Bacterial small subunit ribosomal RNA", at positions 524 to 776 of the family's 1533-position model. The record is from RNAcentral.